ACCUGAUCCCAUCCCGAACUCAGUAGUGAAACGAUGCAUCGCCGAUGGUAGUGUGGGGUUUCCCCAUGUGAGAGUAGGUCAUCGUC
This 86-nucleotide ribosomal RNA is filed under the name Pseudomonas sp. Nvir. The record is from RNAcentral. Lineage: Bacteria; Pseudomonadati; Pseudomonadota; Gammaproteobacteria; Pseudomonadales; Pseudomonadaceae.